RNAcentral lists this long non-coding RNA (380 nucleotides) under Sorghum bicolor (sorghum). RNAcentral's name for it is "long non-coding RNA (SBIC_LNC017351)". The record is from RNAcentral. Lineage: Eukaryota; Viridiplantae; Streptophyta; Magnoliopsida; Poales; Poaceae.
AAAAUAAAAAGAAAAAGGUUUUUCCUCUCCCCCUCCCUGUCUCGGGCUCGGCCCAUUCCUUCCCCCCCCAGCCUGCUAACUCCCCCUUCCCCCUUUUUCUUCCUUGCAUCGGCCCAAGCAGCGCGGCCCAGCAGCCGACGCGCGCGCCCUCCCUCCUCGCUUCAGCGGCUGACAGAGCGGCCCUGCUCUCCGCGUCACUGCUAGGUGGGGCCCGGCGGUCAGACCCGUCUUCCACCUCGAGUCCGGCCAGGACACGAGUCCGAGCGCAACAAUCGCGCGAGUUUCGCGCAAGCUAUCCCCUCUCCGCCCGACUCUAGCCCUUUAAAUACUCGCCCCGCUGCCCCGCAGUCCCCUAUCUCCACCCAGCGCCAGCCGCCGCG